AUUGAACGCUGGCGGCAGGCCUAACACAUGCAAGUCGAACGAGUGGCGGACGGGUGAGUAAUGUCUGGGAAACUGCCUGAUGAGGGGGAUAACUACUGGCAACGGUAGCUAAUACCGCAUUGCAUCAGAUGUGCCCAUAUGGGAUUAGCUUGUUGGUGGGGUAACGGCUCACCAAGGCUACGAUCCCUUGCUGGUCUGAGAGGAUGACCAGCCACGCUGGAACGGAGACACGGUCCAGAAUCCUACGGGAGACAGCAGUGGGGAAUAUUGCACAAUGGGCGCAAGCCUGAUGCAGCCAUGCCGCGUGUAUGAAGAAUGCCUUCGGGUUGUAAAGUACUUUCAGCGGGGAGGCGUUACCCGCAGAAGAAGCACCGGCUAACUCCGUGCCAGCAGCCGCGGUAAGUC
RNAcentral lists this ribosomal RNA (405 nucleotides) under uncultured bacterium. Its description in RNAcentral is "partial 16S ribosomal RNA". It matches the Rfam family "Bacterial small subunit ribosomal RNA", at positions 30 to 526 of the family's 1533-position model. The record is from RNAcentral.